RNAcentral lists this unclassified non-coding RNA (226 nucleotides) under uncultured fungus. RNAcentral describes it as "sequence contains ITS1". The record is from RNAcentral. Lineage: Eukaryota; Fungi.
GUAUUUUAUUUAAGUCUGCUUCUUAGGGCAAACAAAAAAGACGUUCACAAUUAAAGGGUGUGUGUAAAAAGACAAGGGCUCAGCCACCUGACGGCAGCCUACCCCCCUGCAAGAGUUCACAAGUGUAUGUGGGUUUUGGGUCAGAGCGCGCACAUGCCAUAAGGCCAGCAGCAGCCCCUCCCCGAAGAAUUCAAUAAUGAUCCUUCCGCAGGUUCACCUACGGAAA